RNAcentral lists this ribosomal RNA (486 nucleotides) under uncultured bacterium. RNAcentral's name for it is "partial 16S ribosomal RNA". It matches the Rfam family "Bacterial small subunit ribosomal RNA", at positions 30 to 507 of the family's 1533-position model. The record is from RNAcentral.
AUUGAACGCUGGCGACAUGCCUUACACAUGCAAGUCGAACGGCAGCACGGGUGCUUGCACCUGGUGGCGAGUGGCGAACGGGUGAGUAAUACAUCGGAACAUGUCCUGUAGUGGGGGAUAGCCCGGCGAAAGCCGGAUUAAUACCGCAUACGAUCUACGGAUGAAAGCGGGGGACCUUCGGGCCUCGCGCUAUAGGGUUGGCCGAUGGCUGAUUAGCUAGUUGGUGGGGUAAAGGCCUACCAAGGCGACGAUCAGUAGCUGGUCUGAGAGGACGACCAGUCACACUGGGACUGAGACACGGCCCAGACUCCUACGGGGGGCAGCAGUGGGGAAUUUUGGACAAUGGGCGAAAGCCUGAUCCAGCAAUGCCGCGUGUGUGAAGAAGGCCUUCGGGUUGUAAAGCACUUUUGUCCGGAAAGAAAUCCUUGGCCCUAAUACGGUCGGGGGAUGACGGUACCGGAAGAAUAAGCACCGGCUAACUACGUG